This 571-nucleotide ribosomal RNA is filed under the name uncultured Verrucomicrobiota bacterium. RNAcentral describes it as "bacterial SSU rRNA". It matches the Rfam family "Bacterial small subunit ribosomal RNA", at positions 9 to 549 of the family's 1533-position model. The record is from RNAcentral. Lineage: Bacteria; Pseudomonadati; Verrucomicrobiota.
GAGUUUGAUUCUGGCUCAAACGAACGCUGGCGGCGUGGAUAAGACAUGCAAGUCGAACGAGAAACUGCAUGAAGCUUGCUUUGAGUAGUUUCUAGUGGCGAACGGGUGAGUAACACGUGAGCAACCUGCCUGGAAGAGGGGCAUAGCCUGGGGAAACUCGGAUUAAUACCGCAUGUGAUCCCUCCUGGCAUCAGGGGGUGAUUAAAGGUGGGGACCCUUCGGGGCCUACCACUUCCAGAUGGGCUCGCGGUCUAUCAGCUUGAUGGUGGGGUAACGGCCUACCAUGGCUCCGACGGAUAGCUGGUCUGAGAGGAUGGUCAGCCACACUGGAACUGAGACACGGUCCAGACACCUACGGGUGGCAGCAGUCGAGAAUCAUUCGCAAUGGGCGAAAGCCUGACGGUGCGACGCCGCGUGGAGGAUGAAGGUCUUCGGAUUGUAAACUCCUGUCAUCAGGGAGUAAGUGAGUGGUUUCGAAUAGGGAUCGCUUUUGCUAGUACCUGAAGAGGAAGAGACGGCUAACUCUGUGCCAGCAGCCGCGGUAAUACAGAGGUCUCAAGCGUUGUUCGGA